UCUCCGGUCGCUGCCGGGCGUCUCCGGCGCCUCCACUACGCCGGCGCCCCGGACUCCUCUUCUGGUUUACGGUUUACCGCCGCCGCGAUUCGCUAUCGCACCCCUCCCACAACCCCGCGAAACCCUAGCCCCAUUGUUCGGCGCCGGCGCCGGCGCGGCGCCCGUUCACCCGCGCCUCCGGCUGCGCCUCCACGUCGAUCUCGGUCGACCACGCUGCCUCAGCGACCUCUUGGACCCCGCGCCCAGGUCCUUCUCAGCACCAUCAACCGCGAGCUGCUGAUGCCGUCGACCUUGGUCGCUCUGCACCCCACUCCAACGCGCUCGUCGACGUGCUGCCUCCCGUGGCGCUCUUCAGCAUCUCGCUGCUCGGGCCGUCGGUGAAACUAACGUUUUAUUAUACUCGGGCUCAUGAUAUCCAAUUUGGAGACCUUGCUCUCCACUGCUGUUGCAAUAAUGCAAGUGAGAAAGAAGGAACAAAGACGUGCCUCAACUCUUAGCAUGCCAGAAGUUGUCCACUUGGUUGAUAUGAGAUCAUGCUUACCAAAAGCAAAAUUCCUGUUCCUGAUAUAUUGUGAGUAUCCUUUGUGGGUUAAUUAAUCUUACUCUGAAAAAAGGAGGCACGUUGAUUUCCUUCUGUGGGAUAGUGAUUACUUAUGUCAUUUUGAGUAUCUAAAUCUUUGUAUUCACAUUUUUUUUUCAUUUUCCAUGUUCUGCUCUUUUAAUGCUGACUAUCUUCGUUUGCAUGAUCUCAUAUAUACUCUUGCUCAACGUGAUGUACAUUGUAUCUCUGGAGAAAUACCUUACAACACUGGUUUCCUUCAAGUAGC
Long non-coding RNA from Lolium rigidum, 827 nucleotides. RefSeq lists it as uncharacterized. NCBI's taxonomy places the organism in Eukaryota, Viridiplantae, Streptophyta, Magnoliopsida, Poales, Poaceae. The record is from RefSeq and is a predicted model, not a curated record. The transcript has 3 exons.